Molecule: transfer RNA, 73 nt
Filed under: Saccharopolyspora rectivirgula
Lineage: Bacteria; Bacillati; Actinomycetota; Actinomycetes; Pseudonocardiales; Pseudonocardiaceae
Also listed under: 5 other names
Rfam family: tRNA
About the family: Transfer RNA (tRNA) molecules are approximately 80 nucleotides in length. Their secondary structure includes four short double-helical elements and three loops (D, anti-codon, and T loops). Further hydrogen bonds mediate the characteristic L-shaped molecular structure. tRNAs have two regions of fundamental functional importance: the anti-codon, which is responsible for specific mRNA codon recognition, and the 3' end, to which the tRNAs corresponding amino acid is attached (by aminoacyl-tRNA synthetases). tRNAs cope with the degeneracy of the genetic code in two manners: having more than one tRNA (with a specific anti-codon) for a particular amino acid; and 'wobble' base-pairing, i.e. permitting non-standard base-pairing at the 3rd anti-codon position.
Source: Rfam by way of RNAcentral
GCCGCUGUAGCUCAGUUGGUAGAGCGCCCGCCUUGUAAGCGGAUGGUCAGGGGUUCGAGUCCCCUCAGCGGCU